This 84-nucleotide microRNA precursor is filed under the name Prunus dulcis (almond). RNAcentral describes it as "sRNA ncRNA". Lineage: Eukaryota; Viridiplantae; Streptophyta; Magnoliopsida; Rosales; Rosaceae. The record is from RNAcentral.
CCUCUUUUGUCCGCUUACACUCUAUUUUUUGUUAUAAUAAAAAUAUUUAAAAAAACAAAAGGGAGUGUAAGUGAAUAAAAGAGG